AAUGUGGAACCAAUUUUUUUUCCAAACAAAUAGCUUCAGGAAAUGCUCUGUUGUGAACCGCCGCAACAUUUCGCAUGCGGCUCGAUCGUUCAAGAACUUAUCGCUUCAUUUGCUGCGCCUCCUAUUUGCCGAUCUACAACCCCGAGGUUGAUUCUCUUUCUUGCCUUUUCAGGCGUUUCUCAUUCCUGAGCAAGCAUUCAACACCUCCGCAUUCAUUAGCCCGGCCCAACUUGAAUUUGUCACCUGUGUUUUGCGGGUUCCCUCGCGCCUCUUCUCCAGGGAAAUCAACCUGACUGAGCCACGAACAUACCGUUCGACAGGUCGUGUCAUCCCAGGCGUGAAAACGCUCAGUCAGUUUUCGACCAGAUGGCUGUCGGUGAUCAUGAUGAUGACGACGCUGAUGAUGAUGAUGAUGAAGAUGAUGAUGAGCAGCAGCAGCAGCGUGUCAGUGUCACUGGGAUUCAAGUGUCUGCAUUAUGGAUGGAAAAAGCAGUUUAAAAAUACACUGAAGCCUUUUUCAAUUAUUCACGCUUUUCUCAUCAAGGCUUUUUGAUGGCAGCAAGUCAACAAAAUUAGCCUUUUACGGGGGGGGGGGGGUUCUGUCUGUGUCAUGCAGAUGAAAACAACAAACCAAGCCGGCAUGUAAUGUCACAAUCCGGCAAAAUUCUGAAUGGUUUGCUCAAAGACCCAUUUAAUGAAAUAGGCACCUCGCAAACCCCCAAAAGAUUUCAUUUAAUUCAUUAAUUGAUUUUAAUAGGUGAAUUUAACACCUGAUUGGUGGACGGCCUCAGAGACUAAAACGAUUUGUACACAAGCAAUUAAAAAGUCCAUUUUAUAGAAUAUGUUGCCUUUAAACCACGAAUGUGUCUUAAUAAGGGAAGUUUGUGUGUUGCAUUUAAAAUGACUUACUGCCAUUAAGGAUUUAGAUGACUUUGUAAAAAAAAGGAAAAAGGAAGCAAGUCUGCCUACUGUAGCUUGCUCUUAAAAC
Syngnathus acus (greater pipefish) is the source of this 988-nucleotide long non-coding RNA. RefSeq lists it as uncharacterized. NCBI's taxonomy places the organism in Eukaryota, Metazoa, Chordata, Actinopteri, Syngnathiformes, Syngnathidae. The record is from RefSeq and is a predicted model, not a curated record. The transcript is spliced from 2 exons.